GACGAACGCUGACGGCGUGCUUAACACAUGCAAGUCGAACGGAAAGGCCCCUUUGGGGGUACUCGAGUGGCGAACGGGUGAGUAACACGUGAGUAACCUGCCCUUGACUUCGGGAUAACUUCAGGAAACUGGGGCUAAUACCGGAUAGGAAUCCUUGCUGCAUGGUGGGGGUUGGAAAGCUUCGGCGGUUUUGGAUGGACUCGCGGCUUAUCAGCUUGUUGGUGGGGUAGUGGCUUACCAAGGCUUUGACGGGUAGCCGGCCUGAGAGGGCGACCGGCCACAUUGGGACUGAGAUACGGCCCAGACUCCUACGGGAGGCAGCAGUGGGGAAUAUUGCACAAUGGGCGGAAGCCUGAUGCAGCAACGCCGCGGGCGGGAUGACGGCCUUCGGGUUGUAAACCGCUUUCAGCAGGGGCGAAGCUUGUGGUGACGGUACCUGCAGAAGAAGCACCGGCUAACUACGUG
RNAcentral lists this ribosomal RNA (465 nucleotides) under uncultured bacterium. RNAcentral describes it as "partial 16S ribosomal RNA". It matches the Rfam family "Bacterial small subunit ribosomal RNA", at positions 28 to 507 of the family's 1533-position model. The record is from RNAcentral.